AACACGCUCGCAACACACAUCAAAGUAGAAUAAAGCAGAGAACACAAAACGCCUCACCCUCAGCAUAACAAGAAGGAAUAAAUGUUUGUGCCACCGCAGCUGUACAACUAGCCAUCGGAAAAGUACUGCGGGGUAGAGGGUCAUUAAACAGUGCCAAAAGAGCAGUUCCCAGUUCCGUGUUUGAAGUUUCCUUAGUGCCCAGUGUGCGAGGGGAAGGCGAGAGGAGCAGGUGGGGAUAAAAUGACUGUGGACGCAUCUGGCAGCGCGAACGGGGCGGCAGCUGGUGGAGGAAGGAACAACGGCACCGCGCCUCAGUGUGUUGUACCCCGUCCUGCCGCUACCACCACCACCACCACCACCACCACCUUCAGAAGAGCCGGAAUGCCGUCACCCAAGGAGUUCUUCACCAUGGCGGCUCUCUGCCUCGCCUCCGCCUUCGCCUUCUUCUGCUGCCCAAUCUUUAUGGAGCGACCACAACAGUAAGAGAUCGCUAUGAAGGUGCAGCCACUACCCUGCCUCCCACAGACCAACACUGGGGGGUGGGACAGGCUGCCAGCCAGCAGAAGUGAAGGAAAAUCCUAGCAUAACCUCUCCCAGACUCACCAAGAAACACACCCAACACCUCACAUCAUCUAACAAAACCCCUCAGCACCAUCCUCGCCUCUCCCCACCCAGACUAUGUUAGCACUGUGGUGAAAGGAAGCAAUGUGAAUGUAGUGGUGAAGAACUUAGAAACGAGACAAGUGAAUGAUGGGAGUAAAAACAUUAACACCAGGAAUGAAGAAAUGAUGAAGAAGUGAUGCUGAGGAUGGUGCUGAGAGAAGACAGAGUGUUAGUUAUGGCAAGGGGAAGAGGAGCAGGAGGAGGAGGAGGAGGAGGAUGGAGAUGAAACUACUGCCAGUGUAUUCCAGAGCUUUAAUGUUUUCUUUGUCCUGUCAGUGUAAAUGUAAACCUGAUGACUGUGUGUGUGUGUGUGUGUGUGUGUGUGUGUGUGUGUGUGUGUGUGUGUGUGUGUGUGUGUGUGUGUGUGUGUGUGUGUGUGUGUUGGUACACCCUUUUGACUUCCAUUUUACCUUACCAAGUUCUUGUUAUCAGUAAAUGUUGAACCAAUUUGUGGUGUUUUGUACAUAUCCUUAAGGAACGAUGGAGUUUGUUCAGUUGUUACACACUUCAGGCAAUAAACUUGUGACUUCAA
RNAcentral lists this unclassified non-coding RNA (1195 nucleotides) under Portunus trituberculatus (swimming crab). Its description in RNAcentral is "uncharacterized LOC123512694, transcript variant X3". The record is from RNAcentral. Lineage: Eukaryota; Metazoa; Arthropoda; Malacostraca; Decapoda; Portunidae.